RNAcentral lists this ribosomal RNA (523 nucleotides) under uncultured Glomus. RNAcentral's name for it is "SSU rRNA". It matches the Rfam family "Eukaryotic small subunit ribosomal RNA", at positions 569 to 1093 of the family's 1831-position model. The record is from RNAcentral. Lineage: Eukaryota; Fungi; Glomeromycota; Glomeromycetes; Glomerales; Glomeraceae. RNAcentral also lists the same sequence under 1 other name.
AGCAGCCGCGGUAAUUCCAGCUCCAAUAGCGUAUAUUAAAGUUGUUGCAGUUAAAAAGCUCGUAGUUGAAUUUCGGGGUCAGUAGGUCGGUCGUGCCACUGGUAUGAACUGGUUUUACUGAUUCCUCCCUCUUGAAGAACUGUAAUGCCAUUAAUUUGGUGUUGCAGGGAAUCAGGACUGUUACUUUGAAAAAAUUAGAGUGUUUAAAGCAGGCUUUAGCUUGAAUACAUUAGCAUGGAAUAAUGAAAUAGGACGUUUGAUCCUAUUUUGUUGGUUUCUAGGAUUGACGUAAUGAUUAAUAGGGAUAGUUGGGGGCAUUAGUAUUCAAUUGUCAGAGGUGAAAUUCUUGGAUUUAUUGAAGACUAACUACUGCGAAAGCAUUUGCCAAGGAUGUUUUCAUUAAUCAAGAACGAAAGUUAGGGGAUCGAAGACGAUCAGAUACCGUCGUAGUCUUAACCAUAAACUAUGCCGACUAGGGAUCGGAUGAUGUUAAUUUUUUAAUGACUCAUUCGGCGCCUUACGG